Long non-coding RNA from Brassica napus (rape), 1530 nucleotides. RefSeq lists it as uncharacterized. NCBI's taxonomy places the organism in Eukaryota, Viridiplantae, Streptophyta, Magnoliopsida, Brassicales, Brassicaceae. The transcript is spliced from 7 exons. The record is from RefSeq and is a predicted model, not a curated record.
UGUAUGUGCGUCCUUGCAAUGUCGUUUCGAUCGAAGUUCAGUGCACCUCCUCUUUACCCAUGGAAGCGUAACGGACUGUCUACGACUUCCACUAACUCGCAUUCAAGAAGACGAUCGAAUCUGAAUCUAUAAUUAAGGAUGUAUGCUUUGGUGAAAUCUCAUUCUGAAAAAUAAUAAUUUGAUAACAUGAUUUUGUCUAUAGAAUUUUGCGAAAUAGAGCAGCCAAGAGAAUCCUCCAGCUAGAACCUAUCGAUCUGCGAUGUUCUCGGCUGUUAUGAAGCCUUUACUCUCUCCAUCACCGUUGCUGUUUCGCCUUCCCCCUUUCUUCUUCUUCAUAUUCUCUCUCACUCAGUUACAAAAAAAAUAUAUAUUCUCUCUCACUCUUCUUUCACAUCUUUCCCUUAUCCUCCUCUCCCUUUCAUUCCCUUCACCUAUUAAGCCUCUCAUUUCCUCUCGCCGUAACUACAGUCGCCACAGCCUCUCUCCGACCACUACCUCUCAUGUCCCGUUCCUGAGAAGCCUCUUAGUGUAGCCGUCCUACCUACCUCAAAAUCUGGUUCCAAGAAGGCUUUGAAGUGCCCCUGGGAAUAUGAUUUGAAGUAUGCAACACAUGUCUGUGUGCAGAGCAAUGAAAGGGAGGAUCUUUACUGCUUCUUGUCGUGCCAUUUUACAAGUUGAUGUAACAUUGGAGGUUGUGCAUUUAACUGAUGAAUACUGGGAAAGAGUUGGGCAUUCAUGGAUGCAAUCAUUGAAAUGGAGUAUGAUUAAAUAGCUUCAGGUCUUUAUGCUAAAGUUGUCCAUCCUCCUGAUGGUCCAUCUGUUUUGGAACUCUCACAAGACAUGGUGCAAUAUCAGACCUACUUCCUCUCGCAUCUCUCUCAGUCCCAGCUUAAGCAACAAUUUCCUUUGAUGACCAGUUGUCAUUACAUAAAUAAUAUUAAGUUACAGCUUUUAGCUUCUGGUAAUGGACAUCAUCUCAAGCAUGAAAACUACCCAGGUUGAGCAGAAACAUUCGAGGCCAUUCUCAGCUUAAAGCUAUUUCAGAGCAACUUGCUUUAGCAAAGCAUAUGGGGUUCUUCAGGUGUCUCUACCUGCAAAUGUCCAAACUGAAAUCGAGCUGAUUGGAGAGAUACUGAGUUCUUCUAUAAGCUGCCAUCACUGCAAAAAUCACUAAUAGCUCCAGUGACAUAAGAGACGUUCUCAAUUCCGUAAGGGUGGCACUUAACACAGUUUCAAUCCUUAUGCUUACCUCUUGACAAUUCUUGGUCUCGUUUCUUCAAUUUUUGGGAUACAAUGUCAUUGUCUACACGAAUAAUAACCCUCGAAUGAUCUUUGUGUACUUUUAUAAGUAAAAACUAUUUGAAUCUUUUCCUCUUCCGCAGCCAUGUGAUUCUUGGAUGGAUUUUGGUGACUGAUGAUUCUGGUACAUUCAUCUUGAGCGGAGCAUUCCUUCUGUUACAAAAAUAUGUCUCAUGAUUCUUCAUAAACUUCUUUUUUAUCGUUCAAAUUUUUAGUGUGUUUGUUUGAGCA